RNAcentral lists this ribosomal RNA (726 nucleotides) under uncultured bacterium. RNAcentral's name for it is "bacterial SSU rRNA". It matches the Rfam family "Bacterial small subunit ribosomal RNA", at positions 789 to 1515 of the family's 1533-position model. The record is from RNAcentral.
GGUAGUCCACGCCGUAAACGAUGUCGACUUGGAGGUUGUGCCCUUGAGGCGUGGCUUCCGGAGCUAACGCGUUAAGUCGACCGCCUGGGGAGUACGGCCGCAAGGUUAAAACUCAAAUGAAUUGACGGGGGCCCGCACAAGCGGUGGAGCAUGUGGUUUAAUUCGAUGCAACGCGAAGAACCUUACCUACUCUUGACAUCCAGAGAACUUAGCAGAGAUGCUUUGGUGCCUUCGGGAACUCUGAGACAGGUGCUGCAUGGCUGUCGUCAGCUCGUGUUGUGAAAUGUUGGGUUAAGUCCCGCAACGAGCGCAACCCUUAUCCUUUGUUACCAGCGGUUAGGCCGGGAACUCAAAGGAGACUGCCAGUGAUAAACUGGAGGAAGGUGGGGAUGACGUCGAGUCAUCAUGGCCCUUACGAGUAGGGCUACACACGUGCUACAAUGGCGCAUACAAAGAGAAGCGACCUCGCGAGAGCAAGCGGACCUCAUAAAGUGCGUCGUAGUCCGGAUUGGAGUCUGCAACUCGACUCCAAGAAGUCGGAAUCGCUAGUAAUCGUAGAUCAGAAUGCUACGGUGAAUACGUUCCCGGGCCUUGUACACACCGCCCGUCACACCUUGGGAGUGGGUUGCAAAAGAAGUAGGUAGCUUAACCUUCGGGAGGGCGCUUACCACUUUGUGAUUCAUGACUGGGGUGAAGUCGUAACAAGGUAACCGUAGGGGAACCUGC